Ovis aries (sheep) is the source of this 84-nucleotide transfer RNA. It matches the Rfam family "tRNA". From Rfam's summary of the family: Transfer RNA (tRNA) molecules are approximately 80 nucleotides in length. Their secondary structure includes four short double-helical elements and three loops (D, anti-codon, and T loops). NCBI's taxonomy places the organism in Eukaryota, Metazoa, Chordata, Mammalia, Artiodactyla, Bovidae. The record is from Rfam.
UCCCUGAUAGCUCAGUUGGUAAAGAAUCUGCCUUCAAUGCAGGAAACCCUGGGUUGAUUCCUGGGUUGAUUCCUGGUUUGGGAA